CCUACGGGAGGCAGCAGUGGGGAAUAUUGCGCAAUGGGCGAAAGCCUGACGCAGCGACGCCGCGUGAGGGAUGAAGGUCUUCGGAUCGUAAACCUCUGUCAGCAGGGAAGAACGGUCACUGUGCUAAUCAGCAGUGAAUUGACGGUACCUGCAAAGGAAGCACAGGCUAACUCCGUGCCAGCAGCCGCGGUAAUACGGAGGGUACGAGCGUUAAUCGGAAUUACUGGGCGUAAGGCGAUCGUAGGCGGUAUGUCAAGUCAAGGGUGAAAUCCCCGCGCUCAACGUGGGAACUGCCUUUGAAACUGGCAGACUGGAGUGUGUGAGAGGAUAGUGGAAUUCCAGGUGUAGGAGUGAAAUCCGUAGAUAUCUGGAGGAACAUCAGUGGCGAAGGCGACUAUCUGGCACAUAACUGACGCUGAGGAGCGAAAGCGUGGGUAGCAAACAGGAUUAGAUACCCCAGUAGUC
Molecule: ribosomal RNA, 465 nt
Filed under: uncultured bacterium
Lineage: Bacteria
Description: partial 16S ribosomal RNA
Rfam family: Bacterial small subunit ribosomal RNA
Source: RNAcentral